GUGGCUCAGUGGUAGAGCACUUGCUUGGCACGCAUGAGGCCCUGGAUUCGAUCCUCAGC
RNAcentral lists this transfer RNA (59 nucleotides) under Ictidomys tridecemlineatus (thirteen-lined ground squirrel). RNAcentral's name for it is "Spermophilus tridecemlineatus (thirteen-lined ground squirrel) tRNA". It matches the Rfam family "tRNA", at positions 7 to 64 of the family's 71-position model. From Rfam's summary of the family: Transfer RNA (tRNA) molecules are approximately 80 nucleotides in length. Their secondary structure includes four short double-helical elements and three loops (D, anti-codon, and T loops). Lineage: Eukaryota; Metazoa; Chordata; Mammalia; Rodentia; Sciuridae. The record is from Rfam by way of RNAcentral.